ACCAAAAAAAAAAAAACCGAAACCCACUCGGGCUUCCAGCUUAGACCUCUUAUGGGAUUUCUGAGUGUAGAACAAGUGGAUCUUUGUGCCUAAGUCUGUUCAUGUGCCCUUGGGGGGCUCUCUUCCUUCUAUUUAUUUGUUUUAUCCUAUAUAUUUAUGAAGUAUUAGCUUUUGUUUUAUAUUGUUAUAUUUUAUUAUUUUCAUUUAGGUGAUCAUUUGUUUCCUAAUGAGAGGCAGAAGGAAUGGAACCAGACAGGAGGGGAAGGGGGAAAGAAUUUGGAGAAGUAAAGGGAGGGGAAACUAUAACCAGAAUAUAUUGCUUUAUAUAAAUAUUUAAAUGUAAUAAUAAAUGCCACUAGCUACUACAGUCACAAUAGAAAGCUAUGAUGUAAGAACGCUACUUUUGAAGUGUUUUCUAUCUUUUGAAGACAUUUGGGAAAUUGAAAAUUUAUGAAAUAAAUUCUAGACAUUUGUUUUGAUUUAAAGAAUAUAGGGAUAUACACAAUUUAGAUGGCAUAUAGAAAACUUUCUCACUAAAAUGAACAAAGCUAUCUUUUAAAAUCAACAAUUAAUCACAGUUAUUCUGAAUUUUUCUUCCUUUAAAGGCAACUCAGUUGUUAAUUCAGCCAUUAGACUUUAAAAAUAACAGCCAUAAUGAAACAAAUCAUAUGGUAAUGAAAAGUCGUCCUUUCUGGUUUUCUAAUGAUAAAAAUACACUGUUACCUUUUCUAAUGUAUCUGAGUGCGCUUGUCCUGAAAUCCUUAGUCUUACGGCAUUUGAAGGCUCUCUGCAGUGAAUUGACUAACAUAGUAUAUCUUACCUGCAUUUGAUUGUAUCCUUACAGAGAAUAUCAUGGGAUACAUACAUUGUAUUUUACGGUGACAAAUCUGAGCUCUGCUGUUGUAUUCAGAGAGCAUGUUGUGAUUUUCUGCUAUUAUUUUCCUGGUAUCGAUUAGGAUGGAAUAUAUAGGUCACUUUGCAUUGAUUGAUGCAUCAGUAAGCAAGAAGCUUUUUCCUCUGUGCCGAGAUGAUACCUGAGAACGAGCGAUGUCACUUUUGCACAGAAAUGUAACCUUUGAAUGUGUCUAUCCUACAACCAAGUACAUAAGCUCAAACAGCAGUAUAUAUGAACUGAAACAAGAGACUGAAGUGACUGACCCGGAGGAGAUGCAUUUCAACAGAAAACCUGGAUGGCACCACCAUACAUGGCUAAUCUGCUGGUUCUGUAAAAUGAAGAAAUGGCUCUCUGCUUGGAAGAGUGAAGCUUACUCUAUACCUAAAGCCACAUACCUAACUGGUGUCAGCCAAAACGCUAUAGAAACUAAUCACACACUGUUGCAUGCAAAAAGGAUGUUGCCUUCAGUGAACCUAAAUUAAGGAAUAUUUCCACUACCACCUUCUUGAGGUUUGUAAGUGUGCAAAAUUCUUUGAAAAGGGACAGCUAAUGCUAAUAUAGUAUUAAUGUACAAAUUCUUUGGCUAUCAAACUUGAUGUGGACUGAUACCAGAUUCCACAAAAUACGAAUGUUCAUGCUGCAGAGAUUCAUUUGGUUUAGAGGAACCCUGUCCCUGAUAACAUUGAGUAUGCUAUGUUUUACAGCAGGGCUAUAUUCCUUCCUUCCUUACAUUUCCUUACAUUUCCUUGUGUUAUAAAAAAAUCACAUAUUCUGAGACAGAUUUGGCAGCAGAAGCAUGGAUCUUCCCCCCCCUUUUUUUUUUUCAAUUUUAAAGGUUUGCUUCAUGUAUAUGAGUGUUUUGUCUUCGUGUAUGUAAGUGCAACCUACACAAACCUGAUGCCUGCAGAGGCAGAAGAUGUCUGAAAAGGAUGCUUGGUCCCAUAAAGCUAGAGUUAUAGACUGUUGUGAACAACCAUGUGUAUGCUGGGAGCCAAACCCAGGUUCUCUAAAAAGCAACAAAUGGUUUUUAUUUUUCCUUUUAUUGAAAAUGAAUUUCCCACACAAUAUAUCCUGAUUACAGUUUCCCCUCUCCUUCUCUCAGUUCCUCCCCAGCUCCACCCCAGUCCUGAUUCACACCCUUUCUGACUCUCAUUAGAGAACAAACAGGCUUCUGAAUAAAAUAUAAUAUGAUAAAACAAAAACACAUUGGAGUUGGAUAAGACAAACAGGAAAAGAGCCUAAGGGAAGGCACAAAAUUCAUAGAUCCACUUGUUUACACACUCAAGAAUCCC
Mus musculus (house mouse) is the source of this 2187-nucleotide long non-coding RNA. RefSeq annotates it as predicted gene, 41223. Lineage: Eukaryota; Metazoa; Chordata; Mammalia; Rodentia; Muridae. The record is from RefSeq and is a predicted model, not a curated record. The transcript is spliced from 2 exons.